RNAcentral lists this ribosomal RNA (497 nucleotides) under uncultured bacterium. Its description in RNAcentral is "partial 16S ribosomal RNA". It matches the Rfam family "Bacterial small subunit ribosomal RNA", at positions 28 to 507 of the family's 1533-position model. The record is from RNAcentral.
GAUGAACGCUGGCGGCGUGCCUAAUACAUGCAAGUCGAGCGAACAGAUGAGGAGCUUGCUCCUCUGACGUUAGCGGCGGACGGGUGAGUAACACGUGGAUAACCUACCUAUAAGACUGGGAUAACUUCGGGAAACCGGAGCUAAUACCGGAUAAUAUAUUGAACCGCAUGGUUCAAUAGUGAAAGACGGUUUUGCUGUCACUUAUAGAUGGAUCCGCGCCGCAUUAGCUAGUUGGUAAGGUAACGGCUUACCAAGGCAACGAUGCGUAGCCGACCUGAGAGGGUGAUCGGCCACACUGGAACUGAGACACGACCCAGACUCCUACGGGAGGCAGCAGUAGGGAAUCUUCCGCAAUGGGCGAAAGCCUGACGGAGCAACGCCGCGUGAGUGAUGAAGGUCUUCGGAUCGUAAAACUCUGUUAUUAGGGAAGAACAAAUGUGUAAGUAACUAUGCACGUCUUGACGGUACCUAAUCAGAAAGCCACGGCUAACUACGUG